Molecule: long non-coding RNA, 1665 nt
Organism: Homarus americanus (American lobster)
Lineage: Eukaryota; Metazoa; Arthropoda; Malacostraca; Decapoda; Nephropidae
Exons: 4
Source: RefSeq, a predicted model, not a curated record
UCCCCCUCACCAGAGUUCCUCAUAUACCGAUUCUCACAUCACUCCUCGUCACCACUAUCUGUAGCAGCAACAGUCAUGACCAGAGUGAGGAUCUACCUGCUGGCCGCUGUCACCUUCGCCCUUCUACAUACAGGCGGCUAAAUACGGUGAUCCGGCCGACGUUGAGACGAAUCUUCAGGGGUCUGAGGGUCAAAUCAACUACAUCCUGGGAGACGCCGGUCACUCCUUCGUCGUGGGUUUCGGUGUAGACCCUCCACAACCUCCUCACCACCGCUCUAGCUCGUGCCCAGUGCCCCCAGCCUCCUGUACUGAUGGCUGGGCACAACAGCAACCGGGACCUAAUCCACACACGCUAUACGGCGCUCUGGUUGGCGGCCCCUCGGAGGACGAUAGCUACGUAGAUGACAGAAGCGACUAUGUACACAACGAAGGGGCCUGCAACUACAACGCCGCCUAUACGGGAGCUCUGGUAGCCAUCAUCGAGAACAUUUAGAAACCUACACCUCAGUAAAAUAUAAACCAUUAAACACAAAAGAUCCCUACUACUGGUGUGAUAUUAGAAACCAUUAACCACUGCUGUUAUAUUAGAAACCAUUAACCACUGCUGUUAUAAUAGAAACCAUUAACCACUGUUUUUAUAUUAGAGACCAUUAACUACUGUUGUUAUAUUGGAAACCAUUAACCACUGUUGUUAUAAUAGAAACCAUUAACCGCUGUUGGUAUAUUAGAAACCAUUAACCACUGCUGUUAUAUUAGAAACCAUUAACCGCUGUUGUUAUAUUAGAAACCAUUAACCACUGCUGUUAUAUUAGAAAUCAUUAACCACUGCUGUUAUAUUAGAAACCAUUAACCGCUGCUGUUAUAUUAGAAACCAUUAACCACUGCUGUUAUAUUAGAAACCAUUAACCACUGCUGUUAUAUUAGAAACCAUUAACCACUACUGUCAUAUUAGAAACCAUUAACCACUUCUGUUAUAUUAGAAACCAUUAACCACUGCUUGUAUAUUAGAAACCAUUAACCACUGCUGUUAUAUUAGAAACCAUUAACCGCUGUUGUUAUAUUAGAAACCAUUAACCACUGCUGUUAUAUCAGAAACCAUUAACCACUGUUGUUAUAUUAGAAACCAUUAACCACUGCUGUUAUAAUAGAAACCAUUAACCGCUGUUGUUAUGUUAGAAACCAUUAACCGCUGUUGUUAUAUUGGAAACCAUUAACCACUGCUUUUAUAUAAGAAACCUUUAACCGCUGUCGUUAUAUUAGAAACCAUUAACCGCAGUUGUUAUAUUAGAAACCAUUAACCGCAGUUGUUAUAUUAGAAACCAUUAACCACUGCUUUUAUAUAAGAAACCAUUAAUCACUGCUGUUAUAUUAGAAACCAUUAACCACUGUUGUUAUAUUAGAAAUCAUUAACCACUGUUGUUCUAUUAGAAACCAUUAACCACUGUUGUUAUAUUAGAAACCAUUAACAACUGCUGUUAUAUUAGAAACCAUUAACCACUGUUGUUAUAUUAGAAACCAUUAACCACUGCUGUCAUAUUAGAAACCUAUUAUUACUCGUUCCUUAAGAAUAUAAACUUAUUAUUAUUGGGGCCCAUCAGGACUGGGGUCUAUUACUGUCAGGGCCCGUUAAACAUGCAUCCUCCACCCUUACGUUAUGAAAUAAAU